This 392-nucleotide ribosomal RNA is filed under the name Babesia canis canis. RNAcentral describes it as "SSU rRNA". It matches the Rfam family "Eukaryotic small subunit ribosomal RNA", at positions 6 to 433 of the family's 1831-position model. Lineage: Eukaryota; Apicomplexa; Aconoidasida; Piroplasmida; Babesiidae. The record is from RNAcentral.
GGUUGAUCCUGCCAGUAGUCAUAUGCUUGUCUUAAAGAUUAAGCCAUGCAUGUCUAAGUACAAGCUUUUUACGGUGAAACUGCGAAUGGCUCAUUACAACAGUUAUAGUUUAUUUGGUAUUCAUUUUCCAUGGAUAACCGUGCUAAUUGUAGGGCUAAUACACGUUUGAGGUCUUUUGACCGCGUUUAUUAGUUUGAAACCCGCCUUGGCUUUCGGUGAUUCAUAAUAAACUGGCGAAUCGCAUUUAGCGAUGGACCAUUCAAGUUUCUGACCCAUCAGCUUGACGGUAGGGUAUUGGCCUACCGAGGCAGCAACGGGUAACGGGGAAUUAGGGUUCGAUUCCGGAGAGGGAGCCUGAGAGACGGCUACCACAUCUAAGGAAGGCAGCAGGC